UACGAAGGGAGCUAGCGUUGUUCGGAAUCACUGGGCGUAAAGCGCACGUAGGCGGAUGUGUCAGUCAGGGGUGAAAUCCCGGAGCUCAACUUCGGAACUGCCUUUGAUACAGCACGUCUUGAGUCCGAUAGAGGUGGGUGGAAUUCCUAGUGUAGAGGUGAAAUUCGUAGAUAUUCGGAGGAACACCAGUGGCGAAGGCGGCUCACUGGUCCGGUACUGACGCUGAGGUGCGAAAGCGUGGGGAGCAAACAGG
This 253-nucleotide ribosomal RNA is filed under the name uncultured bacterium. Its description in RNAcentral is "partial 16S ribosomal RNA". It matches the Rfam family "Bacterial small subunit ribosomal RNA", at positions 524 to 776 of the family's 1533-position model. The record is from RNAcentral.